AACGAACGCUGGCGGCAGGCUUAACACAUGCAAGUCGAACGAGAUCUUCGGAUCUAGUGGCGAACGGGUGAGUAACGCGUGGGCAAUCUGCCCUCUAGAUGGGGACAACAUUCCGAAAGGAGUGCUAAUACCGAAUGUGUUCAGUGAGUUGCAUAACUUGCUGACGAAAGAUGGCCUCUAUUUAUAAGCUAUCGCUAGAGGAUGAGCCUGCGUCUGAUUAGCUAGUUGGUGAGGUAAUGGCUCACCAAGGCGACGAUCAGUAGCCGGUCUGAGAGGAUGAACGGCCACACUGGGACUGAGACACGGCCCAGACUCCUACGGGAGGCAGCAGUGGGGAAUCUUCCGCAAUGGACGAAAGUCUGACGGAGCAACGCCGCGUGAACGAAGAAGGCCUUCGGGUCGUAAAGUUCUGUUGUUAGGGAAGAAUGUGCUUCUUGUAAAUAAUGAGAAGUAAUGACGGUACCUAAAGAGGAAGCCACGGCUACCUACGUGCCAGCCGCCGCCGUAA
This 508-nucleotide ribosomal RNA is filed under the name uncultured bacterium. RNAcentral's name for it is "partial 16S ribosomal RNA". It matches the Rfam family "Bacterial small subunit ribosomal RNA", at positions 29 to 523 of the family's 1533-position model. The record is from RNAcentral.